GACGAACGCUGGCGGCGUGGAUUAGGCAUGCAAGUCGAACGGUAUCAUCCUUUCGGGGGUGAGAGAGUGGCGAACUGGUGAGUAACACGUAGGUUAUCUACCCUCAAGACGGGGACAACCCAGGGAAACUUGGGCUAAUACCGGAUGUGAGCAACUUUUAGUUGUUUGAAAGGUGGCGUAAGCUGUCGCUUGGGGAUGAGCCUGCGUCCUAUUAGUUAGUUGGUGAGGUAACGGCUCACCUAGGCAAUGAUAGGUAGGCGGCCUUAACGGGUGGUCGCCCACACUGGGAUCGAGAUACGGCCCAGACUCCUACGGGAGGCAGCAGUCGAGAAUAGUCUACAAUGGUCGGAAGACUGAUAGUGCGACGCCGCGUGAACGAUGAAUCCCUUCGGGGUGUAAAGUUCUUUCAGCAGGGAAGAAGCGAAAGUGACGGUACCGCUAAAGGAAGCACCGGCUAACUCCGUG
RNAcentral lists this ribosomal RNA (465 nucleotides) under uncultured bacterium. Its description in RNAcentral is "bacterial SSU rRNA". It matches the Rfam family "Bacterial small subunit ribosomal RNA", at positions 28 to 507 of the family's 1533-position model. The record is from RNAcentral.